RNAcentral lists this ribosomal RNA (435 nucleotides) under Clostridioides difficile. Its description in RNAcentral is "bacterial SSU rRNA". It matches the Rfam family "Bacterial small subunit ribosomal RNA", at positions 711 to 1146 of the family's 1533-position model. The record is from RNAcentral. Lineage: Bacteria; Bacillati; Bacillota; Clostridia; Peptostreptococcales; Peptostreptococcaceae.
AGUUGCGAAGGCGGCUCUCUGGACUGUAACUGACGCUGAGGCACGAAAGCGUGGGGAGCAAACAGGAUUAGAUACCCUGGUAGUCCACGCUGUAAACGAUGAGUACUAGGUGUCGGGGGUUACCCCCCUCGGUGCCGCAGCUAACGCAUUAAGUACUCCGCCUGGGAAGUACGCUCGCAAGAGUGAAACUCAAAGGACUUGACGGGGACCCGCACAAGUAGCGGAGCAUGUGGUUUAAUUCGAAGCAACGCGAAGAACCUUACCUAAGCUUGACAUCCCAAUGACAUCUCCUUAAUCGGAGAGUUCCCUUCGGGGACAUUGGUGACAGGUGGUGCAUGGUUGUCGUCAGCUCGUGUCGUGAGAUGUUGGGUUAAGUCCCGCAACGAGCGCAACCCUUGUCUUUAGUUGCCAUCAUUAAGUUGGGCACUCUAGAGA